CCUACGGGUGGCUGCAGUGAGGAAUAUUGGUCAAUGGCCGCAGGCCUGAACCAGCCAAGUCGCGUGAGGGAUGACGGUCCUACGGAUUGUAAACCUCUUUUGUCAGGGAGCAACGCGCGCCACGUGUGGCGUUCUGCGAGUACCUGACGAACAAGCACCGGCUAACUCCGUGCCAGCAGCCGCGGUAAUACGGAGGAUGCGAGCGUUAUCCGGAUUUAUUGGGGUUAAAGGGUGCGUAGGCGGAAGGUCAAGUCAGCGGCAAAAUUUCGGGGCUCAACCCCGGCGUGGCGUUGAAACUGGGGUUAUGGAGUGAGCGAGAAGUAGGCGGAAUGCGUGGUGUAGCGGUGAAAUGCAUAGAUAUCACGCAGAACUCCGAUUGCGAAGGCAGCUCACUGGGGUGUGACUGACGUUGAGGCUCGAAGGCGUGGGGAGCAAACAGGAUUAGAUACCCCAGUAGUC
This 459-nucleotide ribosomal RNA is filed under the name uncultured bacterium. RNAcentral describes it as "partial 16S ribosomal RNA". It matches the Rfam family "Bacterial small subunit ribosomal RNA", at positions 338 to 795 of the family's 1533-position model. The record is from RNAcentral.